Molecule: ribosomal RNA, 460 nt
Filed under: uncultured bacterium
Lineage: Bacteria
Description: partial 16S ribosomal RNA
Rfam family: Bacterial small subunit ribosomal RNA
Source: RNAcentral
CCUACGGGUGGCAGCAGUGAGGAAUAUUGGUCAAUGGACGCAACUCUGAACCAGCCAAGUAGCGUGCAGGAUGACUGCCCUAUGGGUUGUAAACUGUUUUUAUACGGGAAUCAACUGAGGCACGUGCGCCUUAUUGCAUGUACUUUAUUAAUAAGGACCGGCUAAUUCCGUGACAGCAGCCGCGGUACUACGGAGGGUCCGUGCUUUAUCCGGAUUUAUUGGGUUUAAAGGGAGCGCAGGAGGGUCGUUAAGUAGGUUGUGAAAGGAUGCGGCUCAACCGUACAAUUGCAAUUGAUACUGGGUGGCUUGAGUGAAUUAGAGGUAAGCGGAAUGCGUGGUGUAGCGGUGAAAUGCUUAGAUAUCACGAAGAACUCCGAUUGCGAAGGCAGCUUACUAAAGUGUAACUGACGCUGAUGCUCGAAAGUGUGGGUAUCGAACAGGAUUAGAUACCCGAGUAGUC